RNAcentral lists this ribosomal RNA (460 nucleotides) under uncultured bacterium. Its description in RNAcentral is "partial 16S ribosomal RNA". It matches the Rfam family "Bacterial small subunit ribosomal RNA", at positions 338 to 795 of the family's 1533-position model. The record is from RNAcentral.
CCUACGGGGGGCAGCAGUGAGGAAUAUUGGUCAAUGGACGAGAGUCUGAACCAGCCAAGUGGCGUGAAGGAUGACUGCCCUAUGGGUUGUAAACUUCUUUUAUAAAGGAAUAAAACGAGGCACGUGUGCCUUUUUGCGUGUACUUUAUGAAUAAGGAUCGGCUAACUCCGUGCCAGCAGCCGCGGUAAUAUGGAGGAUCCGAGCGUUAUCCGGAUUUAUUGGGUUUAAAGGGAGCGUAGAUGGUUUGGUAAGUCAGUUGUGAAAGGUUGCGGCUCAACCGUAAAAUUGCAAUUGAUACUGGCAGUCUUGAGUAAAGUUGAGGUAGGCGGAAUUCGUGGUGUAGCGGUGAAAUGCUUAUAUAUCACGAAGAACCCCGAUUGCGAAGGCAGCUUACUAAACUGUGACUGACAUUGAUGCUCGAAAGUGUGGGUAUCAAACAGGAUUAGAUACCCUUGUAGUC